RNAcentral lists this non-coding RNA (98 nucleotides) under Clostridium sp. Its description in RNAcentral is "Guanine sequence". The stretch from base 18 to 98 matches the Rfam family "Purine riboswitch aptamer", at positions 18 to 102 of the family's 102-position model. Rfam says of the family: Riboswitches are metabolite binding domains within certain messenger RNAs that serve as precision sensors for their corresponding targets. Allosteric rearrangement of mRNA structure is mediated by ligand binding, and this results in modulation of gene expression. RNAcentral also lists the same sequence under 1 other name. The record is from RNAcentral. Lineage: Bacteria; Bacillati; Bacillota; Clostridia; Eubacteriales; Clostridiaceae.
ACUCGGGGUGUCGCUGGUUGCUAUAUAAUACCCGGAUAUGGCGGGUAGUUUCUACACUUCACCGUAAAUGAAGUACUAUGGCUAACUUCUCACCGGCC